Molecule: long non-coding RNA, 516 nt
Organism: Sarcophilus harrisii (Tasmanian devil)
Lineage: Eukaryota; Metazoa; Chordata; Mammalia; Dasyuromorphia; Dasyuridae
Exons: 2
Source: RefSeq, a predicted model, not a curated record
ACGGUGUUUGCCGGGAAUGUUUUAUGUGAAGUGAAACUGCCUUACAGGGAAAUGGGUUCUCAAUUAUCCAACGGAGGGGGAUGUUCCCAUGCCCUGACCUCAUUUCAAAAAUAACAAAUUUCCUGCCUCCGCUGCAGUUAAUUGUUCACUUGCCAGUGCUUCCAGCCAGCAGCCUUAGCCAUUGGCUUGGGAGGACACGAUCAGGGCCCAGACAAAAGAGAUGAUUGGCCCAAUUCCAUCCUCGGCUCUCUGGGAGUCUCUGUUCACGCCAGCUCUCUCCGCGUGGCCAGCCCAGAUCAAGCCUGUCCAUUCGUCUGAGGCUGACAAUUGUGAAUUCGCAGCUCCAGAGAUGGCUCCAGAACCAAAGCUCGCACCUCCAGAACGGUCACUGACAAGUCUGGUUUUGGGGGCAAACGAGUAAUAAGGCUCAAUGGCUGGACAGCUGUUCUGAAACCUGAUUUCUAGAAGCCUGAUGUCAAGCCCUGCCUCUGCCAUCUUGGAAAGACUCUGCUCUGA